GAUGAACGCUGGCGGCGUGCCUAAUACAUGCAAGUCGAGCGAACAGACGAGGAGCUUGCUCCUCUGACGUUAGCGGCGGACGGGUGAGUAACACGUGGAUAACCUACCUAUAAGACUGGGAUAACUUCGGGACACCGGAGCUAAUACCGGAUAAUAUAUUGAACCGCAUGGUUCAAUAGUGAAAGACGGUUUUGCUGUCACUUAUAGAUGGAUCCGCGCCGCAUUAGCUAGUUGGUAAGGUAACGGCUUACCAAGGCAACGAUGCGUAGCCGACCUGAGGGGGUGGUCGGCCACACUGGAACUGAGACACGGUCCAGACUCCUACGGGAGGCAGCAGGAGGGAAUCGUCCGCAAUGGGCGGAAGCCUGACGGAGCAACGCCGCGUGAGUGAUGAAGGUCUUCGGAUCGUAAAACUCUGUUAUUAGGGAAGAACAAGUGUGUAAGUAACUAUGCACGUCUGGACGGUACCUAAUCAGAAAGCCACGGCUAACUACGUG
Molecule: ribosomal RNA, 497 nt
Filed under: uncultured bacterium
Lineage: Bacteria
Description: partial 16S ribosomal RNA
Rfam family: Bacterial small subunit ribosomal RNA
Source: RNAcentral